This 600-nucleotide ribosomal RNA is filed under the name uncultured bacterium. RNAcentral's name for it is "bacterial SSU rRNA". It matches the Rfam family "Bacterial small subunit ribosomal RNA", at positions 100 to 669 of the family's 1533-position model. The record is from RNAcentral.
GUACGGGUGCGGAAUACGUGUGCAACCUGCCUUUAUCUGGGGGAUAGCCUUUCGAAAGGAAGAUUAAUACCCCAUAAUAUGUUGGAUGGCAUCAUUCGACAUUGAAAACUCCGGUGGAUAGAGAUGGGCACGCGCAAGAUUAGAUAGUUGGUGAGGUAACGGCUCACCAAGUCUACGAUCUUUAGGGGGCCUGAGAGGGUGACCCCCCACACUGGUACUUGAGAACACGGACCCAAAAAAAAACCUUUUCCCCUUUAACGGGGGGAAGGGGGCAGGCAGUUGAGGGAAUAUUGGACAAUGGGUGAGAGCCUGAUCCAGCCAUCCCGCGUGAAGGACGACUGCCCUAUGGGUUGUAAACUUCUUUGGGUAUUAAGGGGAUAAACCUACCCUCGUGAGGGUAGCUGAAGGUACUAUACGAAUAAGCACUGGCUAACUCCGUGCCAGCAGCCGCGGUAAUACGGAGGGUGCAAGCGUUAUCCGGAUUUAUUGGGUUUAAAGGGUCCGUAGCGGAUCUGUAAGUCAGUGGUGAAAUCUCACAGCUUAACUGUGAAACUGCCAUUGAUACUGCAGGUCUUGAGUGUUGUUGAAGUACUGGAAUAA